This 468-nucleotide ribosomal RNA is filed under the name uncultured bacterium. RNAcentral's name for it is "bacterial SSU rRNA". It matches the Rfam family "Bacterial small subunit ribosomal RNA", at positions 334 to 793 of the family's 1533-position model. The record is from RNAcentral.
GAUCCUACGGGGAGGCAGCAGUGGGGAAUAUUGCACAAUGGGGGAAACCCUGAUGCAGCCAUGCCGCGUGUGUGAAGAAGGCCUUCGGGUUGUAAAGCACUUUCAGUAGGGAGGAAGGUAGUGUAGUUAAUACCUGCAUUAUUUGACGUUACCUACAGAAGAAGCACCGGCUAACUCCGUGCCAGCAGCCGCGGUAAUACGGAGGGAGCGAGCGUUAAUCGGAAUUACUGGGCGUAAAGCGCAUGCAGGCGGCCUGUUAAGUCAGAUGUGAAAGCCCGGGGCUUAACCUCGGAAUUGCAUUUGAAACUGGCAGGCUAGAGUCUUGUAGAGGGGGGUAGGAAUUUCAGGUGUAGCGGUGAAAUGCGUAGAGAUCUGAAGGAAUACCAGUGGCGAAGGCGGCCCCCUGGACAAAGACUGACGCUCAGAUGCGAAAGCGUGGGGAGCAAACAGGAUUAGAUACCCUGGUAG